Molecule: ribosomal RNA, 256 nt
Filed under: uncultured bacterium
Lineage: Bacteria
Description: partial 16S ribosomal RNA
Rfam family: Bacterial small subunit ribosomal RNA
Source: RNAcentral
UACGGGGGGGCAAGCGUUGUUCGGAAUUACUGGGCGUAAAGAGCUCGUAGGCGGUUUGUUGCGUCGGCUGUGAAAUCCCGAGGCUCAACCUCGGGUCUGCAGUCGAUACGAGCAAACUAGAGUGUUGCAGGGGAGACUGGAAUUCCUGGUGUAGCGGUGAAAUGCGCAGAUAUCGGGAAGAACACCCGUGGCGAAGGCGGCAACUCUGGGACGGUACUGACGCUGAGACGCGGAAAGCAUGGGGAGCGAACGAGGA